GGGUUGUGAGGUUAAGCGACUAAGCGUACACGGUGGAUGCCCUGGCAGUCAGAGGCGAUGAAGGACGUGCUAAUCUGCGAUAAGCGCCGGUAAGGUGAUAUGAACCGUUAUAACCGGCGAUUUCCGAAUGGGGAAACCCAGUGUGAUUCGUCACACUAUCAUUAACUGAAUCCAUAGGUUAAUGAGGCGAACCGGGGGAACUGAAACAUCUAAGUACCCCGAGGAAAAGAAAUCAACCGAGAUUCCCCCAGUAGCGGCGAGCGAACGGGGAGGAGCCCAGAGCCUGAAUCAGCAUGUGUGUUAGUGGAAGCGUCUGGAAAGGCGCGCGAUACAGGGUGACAGCCCCGUACACAAAAGCGCAUGUGCUGUGAGCUCGAUGAGUAGGGCGGGACACGUGGUAUCCUGUCUGAAUAUGGGGGGACCAUCCUCCAAGGCUAAAUACUCCUGACUGACCGAUAGUGAACCAGUACCGUGAGGGAAAGGCGAAAAGAACCCCGGCGAGGGGAGUGAAAAAGAACCUGAAACCGUGUACGUACAAGCAGUGGGAGCACAGGUUUACCUGUGUGACUGCGUACCUUUUGUAUAAUGGGUCAGCGACUUAUAUUCUGUAGCAAGGUUAACCGUAUAGGGGAGCCGCAGGGAAACCGAGUCUUAAC
RNAcentral lists this ribosomal RNA (656 nucleotides) under Salmonella enterica subsp. enterica serovar Derby. RNAcentral describes it as "partial 23S ribosomal RNA". It matches the Rfam family "Bacterial large subunit ribosomal RNA", at positions 1 to 688 of the family's 2925-position model. The record is from RNAcentral. Lineage: Bacteria; Pseudomonadati; Pseudomonadota; Gammaproteobacteria; Enterobacterales; Enterobacteriaceae. RNAcentral also lists the same sequence under 1 other name.